AUUGAACGCUGGCGGCAGGCCUAACUCAUGCAAGUCGAGCGGAUGAAGGGAGCUUGCUCCUGGAUUCAGCGGCGGACGGGUGAGUAAUGCCUAGGAAUCUGCCUGGUAGUGGGGGAUAACGUCCGGAAACGGGCGCUGAUACCGCAUACGUCCUGAGGGAGAAAGUGGGGGAUCUUCGGACCUCACGCUAUCAGAUGAGCCUAGGUCGGAUUAGCUAGUUGGUGGGGUAAAGGCCUACCAAGGCGACGAUCCGUAACUGGUCUGAGAGGAUGAUCAGUCACACUGGAACUGAGACACGGUCCAGACUCCUACGGGAGGCAGCAGUGGGGAAUAUUGGACAAUGGGCGAAAGCCUGAUCCAGCCAUGCCGCGUGUGUGAAGAAGGUCUUCGGAUUGUAAAGCACUUUAAGUUGGGAGGAAGGGCAGUAAGUUAAUACCUUGCUGUUUUGACGUUACCAACAGAAUAAGCACCGGCUAACUUCGUG
This 484-nucleotide ribosomal RNA is filed under the name uncultured bacterium. RNAcentral's name for it is "partial 16S ribosomal RNA". It matches the Rfam family "Bacterial small subunit ribosomal RNA", at positions 30 to 507 of the family's 1533-position model. The record is from RNAcentral.